This 494-nucleotide ribosomal RNA is filed under the name Salmonella enterica subsp. enterica serovar Kedougou. Its description in RNAcentral is "partial 23S ribosomal RNA". It matches the Rfam family "Bacterial large subunit ribosomal RNA", at positions 1189 to 1682 of the family's 2925-position model. The record is from RNAcentral. Lineage: Bacteria; Pseudomonadati; Pseudomonadota; Gammaproteobacteria; Enterobacterales; Enterobacteriaceae.
AUGCACCGAAGCUGCGGCAGCGAUAUGUAAAUAUUGUUGGGUAGGGGAGCGUUCUGUAAGCCUGUGAAGGUGUGCUGUGAGGCAUGCUGGAGGUAUCAGAAGUGCGAAUGCUGACAUAAGUAACGAUAAUGCGGGUGAAAAACCCGCACGCCGGAAGACCAAGGGUUCCUGUCCAACGUUAAUCGGGGCAGGGUGAGUCGACCCCUAAGGCGAGGCAGAAAUGCGUAGUCGAUGGGAAACGGGUUAAUAUUCCCGUACUGGUGAUAAUUGCGAUGGGGGGACGGAGAAGGUUAGGCUGGCCGGGCGACGGUUGUCCCGGUUUAAGGAUGUAGGCAGGUGAAUUAGGCAAAUCCGGUUCACUAUAUGCUGAGGUCUGAUGACGAGUCACUACGGUGGCGAAGUAGCUCAUACCCCGCUUCCAGGAAAAGCCUCUAAGCUCUAGAUUAUCAUUAAUCGUACCCCAAACCGACACAGGUGGUCAGGUAGAGAAUACU